GAUGAACGCUGGCGGCGUGCUUAACACAUGCAAGUCGAACGAACCUUCGGGUUAGUGGCGGACGGGUGAGUAACGCGUGGGAAUCUGCCCUCAGGAGGGGGGAUAACGGCUGGAAACGGCCGCUAAUACCCAUAUGCCGAGAGGUGAAAUGAAUUUCGCCUGAGGAUGAGCCCGCGUCUGAUUAGCUAGUUGGUGUGGUAAUGGCGCACCAAGGCUUCGAUCAGUAGCUGGUCUGAGAGGAUGAUCAGCCACACUGGGACUGAGACACGGCCCAGACUCCUACGGGAGGCAGCAGUGGGGAAUUUUCCGCAAUGGGCGAAAGCCUGACGGAGCAACGCCGCGUGAGGGAUGAAGGCCUCUGGGCUGUAAACCUCUUUUCUCAAGG
RNAcentral lists this ribosomal RNA (385 nucleotides) under uncultured bacterium. RNAcentral's name for it is "bacterial SSU rRNA". It matches the Rfam family "Bacterial small subunit ribosomal RNA", at positions 28 to 444 of the family's 1533-position model. The record is from RNAcentral.